GGGCUUGUACUGGUUUCGACAGGGAUUCUGAAGAUGGAGAAGCUAUCCGUAGGCCGAUGCGUCAAAUCGCAAACUUAAAAUUAAACGCUAACGAUAAUUUCGAAUUAGCUGCAGCCUAAUUGCUGCAUGUCAGUCCCGAGGCACCCGCACCUUGGGAAUCUGGCAUCAACUAUGUGGGAAACGAUAUUAACAAAGCUUUGAGUUAAUAGGCGUAUUAUGAAGCUACUGAACCUGUAAGAGUGUUAGUUCUCGUACAGCAGAGGGAAUGUUAAACAACUGACUAUGAUAGUAGAAGUACAUGGGAUGGGUUUUUGGACGCGAGUUCGAUUCUCGCCAGGUCCAUUC
RNAcentral lists this transfer-messenger RNA (345 nucleotides) under Lachnospiraceae. RNAcentral describes it as "Schaedlerella sp900066545 Standard tmRNA". It matches the Rfam family "transfer-messenger RNA". Rfam says of the family: Bacterial tmRNA, also known as 10Sa RNA or SsrA, is named for its dual tRNA and mRNA-like properties. Its role is to liberate the mRNA from a stalled ribosome. Lineage: Bacteria; Bacillati; Bacillota; Clostridia; Lachnospirales. The record is from RNAcentral.